UUCAUCUCCAGCCCCGUUCCUCUAUCCCAAUUCCCAAAAUUUUUGUUUUUUCCCUCUCAUCUUUCCCUCCCUUGUAACCUAAAAUCAACUCUGUGUUCUCACAUAAUUAACCCGGCAAACGCAUCACCUGUUUCUUUUUUUUUUCACAUUCAAAAUUUUCAGAAAACCGCUCUCGCCGAACACAUCACCUGUUUUGUUUCCUGAAAUCCGGUGGUAGAAAAGGGUAGGGUUAGAAUAGGGAUCGGUGGAUACCACCACAGAUCCGGUGGUAUAAGGGUAAGGUUGGACACCGCCACAGAUCCGACUCAAAAUCACCGGUGCUGUAGAAGUUGAUGAUGCCAUCAUCGUUGAACACCCUCUGCCUCGGUUUUUCUAAGAAGGUACAGAGGAUUGAAGUGGAUCUGGUGCUACACAUGUAUAGAUGAUAAAAAGGAUUGAAGUGGAUCUGGUUCUACACAUGAGUACAUGAUUCAAAGGAUUGAAGUGGAUCUGGGGCUACAUAUGAUAUUUGACACCACAACCGUCGGCUACGGUUUAUUUGGGCAAUCCUCGACUGUUAAGGGAAGGAAGAAGACUUGAAACUUCUGUCAACGGGGAAGCAAAACUCUGGAUCUUCCCGAGAACUUUGAAACUCCUGGUGUUGAGGUUAUCACUGGUCCUCUUGGUCAAGGUAUUGCAUGUUGGUUUGGUUCUUGUUGAGAAGCAAUUGGCUGCUCGUUACAACAAACCUGAUGCUUAGGUUGUCAACCACUACACAGCUAACACAUGGGUGGAAGGUAACCUAGUCCCAGAGGUCGCUAUGGUGGUUGUAGCCGUGGAAGAGAUCUUCCAACAAGUUUUUUGGUUUGUAAUCUUCGUCUUGAUUGGCGUUCCUAGAGGGAUUCAGCCCUAAGAGCACCACCAACAAGUAAGGAAGUGGUUGACCAAGAUGGGAGCAGAUGCCAAAUGUGCCAUUUGCACGAACCAAAAUUUCUGAUUCACCUUAAAUUGCUACCUUGCAUCCAGAAAUUGAUCUGUAGAUUUCUUUUUUUUAGAGCUUGAUCCCCCAGAUUUUGCAAAGCCAAAGGGUUUCCAUAUGGUCUAUACACUCCACAAAUGGCUAUGUAAUACCCUUUUCGCCCACUUAUUUGAUGACCAUUAACGCAAUGUUGUCAUAUCUCAUGAAGAUUGUAGAGGUUCAUGAAUGCAAGUGGGUUUGUUGUUGUAAGUGCUAUUAGGAGUGAUGCGGGUUCCAUUGCAAUUGCUACAUCAUUUGUAGAUACCUUUUGUUUAGAAGUUCUGUAGCUUUAAUACUCUAAUUGAGGCCUUAUGUAUGAAUUUUGGUAU
Molecule: long non-coding RNA, 1326 nt
Filed under: Helianthus annuus (common sunflower)
Lineage: Eukaryota; Viridiplantae; Streptophyta; Magnoliopsida; Asterales; Asteraceae
Source: RNAcentral